AUACGGAGGGUGCAAGCGUUAAUCGGACUUACUGGGCGUAAAGCGCACGCAGGCGGUCAAUUAAGUCAGAUGUGAAAGCCCCGAGCUUAACUUGGGAAUUGCAUCUGAAACUGGUUGGCUAGAGUCUUGUAGCGGGGGGUAGAAUUCCACGUGUAGCGGUGAAAUGCGUAGAGAUGUGGAGGAAUACCGGUGGCGAAGGCGGCCCCCUGGACAAAGACUGACGCUCAGGUGCGAGAGCGUGGGGAGCAAACAGGAUUAGAUACCCUGGUAGUCCACGCUGUAAACGAUGUCGAUUUAGAGGUUGUGGUCUUGAACUGUGGCUUCUGGAGCUAACGCGUUAAAUCGACCGCCUGGGGAGUACGGCCGCAAGGUUAAAACUCAAAUGAAUGGGCGGGG
RNAcentral lists this ribosomal RNA (396 nucleotides) under uncultured bacterium. RNAcentral describes it as "partial 16S ribosomal RNA". It matches the Rfam family "Bacterial small subunit ribosomal RNA", at positions 523 to 918 of the family's 1533-position model. The record is from RNAcentral.